ACGGGAGGCAGCAGUGGGGAAUAUUGCACAAUGGGGGAAACCCUGAUGCAGCGACGCCGCGUGAACGAUGAAGUAUUUCGGUAUGUAAAGUUCUAUCAGCAGGGAAGAUAAUGACGGUACCUGACUAAGAAGCACCGGCUAAAUACGUGCCAGCAGCCGCGGUAAUACGUAUGGUGCAAGCGUUAUCCGGAUUUACUGGGUGUAAAGGGUGCGUAGGUGGCAAGGCAAGUCAGAUGUGAAAGCCCGGGGCUCAACCCCGGUAUUGCAUUUGAAACUGUUUAGCUAGAGUGCAGGAGAGGUAAGUGGAAUUCCUAGUGUAGCGGUGAAAUGCGUAGAUAUUAGGAGGAACACCAGUGGCGAAGGCGGCUUACUGGACUGUAACUGACACUGAGGCACGAAAGCGUGGGGAGCAAACAGGAUUAGAUACCCUGGUA
Molecule: ribosomal RNA, 434 nt
Filed under: uncultured bacterium
Lineage: Bacteria
Description: partial 16S ribosomal RNA
Rfam family: Bacterial small subunit ribosomal RNA
Source: RNAcentral